GACGAACGCUGGCGGCGUGCUUAACACAUGCAAGUCGAACGGAAAGGCUCUGCUUUUGUGGGGUGCUCGAGUGGCGAACGGGUGAGUAACACGUGAGUAACCUGCCCUUGACUUUGGGAUAACUUCAGGAAACUGGGGCUAAUACCGGAUAGGAGCUCCUGCUGCAUGGUGGGGGUUGGAAAGUUUCGGCGGUUGGGGAUGGACUCGCGGCUUAUCAGCUUGUUGGUGGGGUAGUGGCUUACCAAGGCUUUGACGGGUAGCCGGCCUGAGAGGGUGACCGGCCACAUUGGGACUGAGAUACGGCCCAGACUACUACGGGAGGCAGCAGUGGGGAAUAUUGCACAAUGGGCGGAAGCCUGAUGCAGCAACGCCGCGUGCGGGAUGACGGCCUUCGGGUUGUAAACCGCUUUCGCCUGUGACGAAGCGUGAGUGACGGUAAUGGGUAAAGAAGCACCGGCUAACUACGUG
RNAcentral lists this ribosomal RNA (468 nucleotides) under uncultured bacterium. Its description in RNAcentral is "partial 16S ribosomal RNA". It matches the Rfam family "Bacterial small subunit ribosomal RNA", at positions 28 to 507 of the family's 1533-position model. The record is from RNAcentral.